GCUCAAGUUUAAUUAGAAGGAAUUCUGUUACGUGUGAUGGCUGAGGUCUUUUUGAGUUAAUCUGGCUGUUUGGGUCAGCAUGGAAAAUGAGGUAUGGAACUGAUUCCAUGGUGAGUCACUAGGGGUCUGGGACAGCUGGACAGGGAUUAAUUCAUUUUGCCCAGGCCAAAGAGUCUCUGCUGUGGAUUACAGUGGGAGCAGUUCCCAGGAGAAGGAGGUCCCUGCCUGCACGUGGAUAUUUCUCCUGUAUUUACAGCCUUCCCAGGGAGAAGGACUGACACUUUUAUCCUCCUUCUUACAGACCAAACGCCUGAGACACUGCCUGCUCUCAGUGCCCAGUGACAGAGAAAAGGCUGUUUUUCCAGAACUUUUGUGUGUUCAUUGUCUCUGGGCCCAAGAAGCCUCCACAGGUCCAGGGGACACGUCACACAACCAGUGUGGAGGGGAGAUUUUCUGCAGAGAUUGGGCCACUGGAGUGAUCCCAGAACUGUACAACCAAACUCCAGCUCGCAGCAGCUUCACUCUGUCAUCACUGAAACAAAGCUACGAGCUGCAAUUAAAUUUCCGGGCAAUUUACAGACUUUCUGCACUGAAAUGUUCCUUUGAGGAUUUCUAGGGAGAGCAGUAGACUGAGAAAAAUUCUGCCCUGCGGCAGGGAGCAUCAUGGUGUCACCGUGAUCCUCCUCGUCAUCAGGAUGUGCACCCAGCAUCUGCCUCCAGAGCUCUGACUCAGCCUGGGCCCAGUACAUCAGUAUUUCACCUGCUGGUGUCUCUGCAGAGAAGUCCAAAGAGAGGAAAAGAAGUGUCCUUCCCAUCACCUUCAUUGACACCCUUUUCCCUCAGAGCAUUCGGUGCUGAGUGAGGCCAUCUGCUGGGAGAGAUCCAGCCUGGAGCCACAGCUGGAGGUUUGUGACAGUGUCUGCGUGCCUCAAGUGGUAGAGAAACAAGAGUGGUUUUGCCAGUGUUUGUAAUCCAUCUCCAAGCGCUGCUCCAUGUGCUUUCUGCCUCCUUUAUCUGCAAGGCUCCUGCCUUCCCCUGUCACACAUUGAGUCCAGCUGCCUCAGAGCUGCUGCCCCACACAGUCUUCUCUGCAGCACACCUGGGACCUCUCCAGCAUCUUGGCUUUCAUCUGCUGUGCAAGAGAGAGCCCUUAAUGUCCUCUCAGUACAGGAGAAUGAUGAGGUGAAGGGCUCGUUGUGCCUGGCAGGGGCAAACAGAAGACUCUAAGAGCAAGGAUCCUGGAAUCAUUAAGGCUGGAGAAGACCUCUAAGAAGACUGAAUCCACACAGCACCACCAGCUCAGCACUGAGUG
Molecule: long non-coding RNA, 1312 nt
Organism: Passer domesticus (house sparrow)
Lineage: Eukaryota; Metazoa; Chordata; Aves; Passeriformes; Passeridae
Exons: 8
Source: RefSeq, a predicted model, not a curated record